GAUGAACGCUGGCGGCGUGCCUAAUACAUGCAAGUCGAGCGAACAGACGAGGAGCUUGCUCCUCUGACGUUAGCGGCGGACGGGUGAGUAACACGUGGAUAACCUACCUAUAAGACUGGGAUAACUUCGGGAAACCGGAGCUAAUACCGGAUAAUAUAUUGAACCGCAUGGUUCAAUAGUGAAAGACGGUUUUGCUGUCACUUAUAGAUGGAUCCGCGCCGCAUUAGCUAGUUGGUAAGGUAACAGCUUCCAAGGCAACGAUGCGUAGCCGACCUGAGAGGGUGAUCGGCCACACUGGAACUGAGACACGGUCCAGACUCCUACGGGAGGCAGCAGUAGGGAAUCUUCCGCAAUGGGCGAAAGCCUGACGGAGCAACGCCGCGUGAGUGAUGAAGGUCUUCGGAUCGUAAAACUCUGUUAUUAGGGAAGAACAAAUGUGUAAGUAACUAUGCACGUCUUGACGGUACCUAAUCAGAAAGCCACGGCUAACUACGUG
This 496-nucleotide ribosomal RNA is filed under the name uncultured bacterium. RNAcentral describes it as "partial 16S ribosomal RNA". It matches the Rfam family "Bacterial small subunit ribosomal RNA", at positions 28 to 507 of the family's 1533-position model. The record is from RNAcentral.